Molecule: long non-coding RNA, 496 nt
Filed under: Ananas comosus (pineapple)
Lineage: Eukaryota; Viridiplantae; Streptophyta; Magnoliopsida; Poales; Bromeliaceae
Description: long non-coding RNA (ACOM_LNC027525)
Source: RNAcentral
UUUUUGUGUGUGUGUGUGUGUAUAUAUAUGUAUAUAUAUAAAUAAAUAUUAUAUACGGUUGUUACUUUGGUUUAAUAUGUUGGUCCAAGUGAAUUAUCUAGAUCAAGAAUUUAAGUAUCGUGGCACGAGAUAGUAUCGAAAACUUACCGCUACGGUAUAACACGGUACGUGUCGAGCCGUGCCGAUGGUACUGGUCAAAAAAAUUCUUAUGUGCUGACACAUAUAAUAGCAAUAAAUAUUUAUUUUCUUUAGCAACAAAAUAUUCUAACUAUUUAUUAUGUUUUUUUAUCACAUCUUUUGAACUUUAUUAAGAAAAUAAUUUAUUAAUUUAAAAAAUAGAGGGUUUUAAACUGUGCCAUUGGUACGGGAUCUACAUCGUACCAGUAUCUUAUUGACAUAGUAUGACACUGUGGAUAUGGCCCGUACCGACGGGCACUUAAAACCUUGAUCUAGAUACUCUUAAUUGAAAGAGAGCUACUCUUUUACAAGUUGAGAA